RNA transcript from Peromyscus californicus insignis, 2771 nucleotides. It is a transcript of the gene named protein FAM156A/FAM156B-like, with no coding region annotated. The transcript is spliced from 7 exons. NCBI's taxonomy places the organism in Eukaryota, Metazoa, Chordata, Mammalia, Rodentia, Cricetidae. The record is from RefSeq and is a predicted model, not a curated record.
ACCGGGAGAACUUGGCUGGCUGGCUGACUGAAUGGGGAUGCUUGGUGUGGUGGCUGUUCUUGCCAGGACAAUAGCUGGCUGACAAAGUCAGGCUCAGGCCUUUCUGACUUGAGAGAAGCCUGCGUGGAGCUUUAUGUCGGUCCAGUGCUGGCCUCAGAUGACUUGGGUGGAUCAGACUUGCUGCCUGCACUUAUGAAGCCCCAUGAUCUGCUACCAACCUGUGGGCUUGGAAGUCAUGCACCUGCAGCUGGAUCCCUCUGGGACUUGUGAAAUGUAGGUCCUAAGGCCUACUCCCUGGAAAUAUAAAUCUGGCCAGUUAUUAUUGUAGCUGACAGGAUUCACAGCUGAGUGUGAUCGAGAAUUACUUUCCUACUCUGGUAGUACGCAUAGGCUCUUCAAUCAUCAUGAAAACUAGCUAACAGGGAUGAAGCUUUCAGUAGGAGCUCCAGGAUUAGGGAUGGGAUGAAAGAUGUAAUUCUCCUCUCAGUACAACUGAAAGAAUCUGAUCGUCUGUUCCACCUUCCUGAAUCAUUUCUACUGCACAAAUAAUGGCAACAAUUGACAACUACCUGCUGUUCCCAUUGGCCAAGUACCUCCAAUCACAAUCUUUCAAGCACUGAAUAAGCAAGCAUGUUUGAAGCUCCAGGGUUUUUCUGUGUAGCCCAGGCUGUCCUGGAACUCGCUCUGUAGACCAGUUCAAGGUUUGAACUCACGAAAUCUACCUGUGUCAGCCUUCCCGGUGCUGAGAUUAAAGGCCUGGUGAGAUUGGAUACAUCGCUGUAGGCACCAGAAAUAGAGAAGUCCCGAGAGCCAGGGCCUGGACAAACUCACCUCUCUGUGAGGUGCUCCUUGGCUGGAAUUCAGGCUCCUCCCCCGCUGCCCUUGCACGUGUCUGGCUACUUCUGGCUGCACCCAUUCGUCCUCCCUACCUUCUAGUUAUCAUAGAACCCACCACCUUGCACUUCCUGAGUAGACCCCAGGCCUGGUGUGGCCUCCAGCUCAGACUAGCCCCCAUGGAUCCCCUCCAGAAAUGGGAGUCAGCAUUGAUUUCUGGGUCUUCUCAAGUGACCAUUGUGGAGACCUCCCAGGAAGGCUCUGCAUCCUCUCACCUCAUCUCCUUAGAACAGCUGAGGUUGGACGUCAGCGGCCUGAGCACCAAUCCUGGCUCCGGCGCCCCUACACCUUUGGCAGAGGGGCUGCUCCAGAGGCAGUGCACGGAGCAGAAUAACUUCCUGGAGCAGCGCUGUGGACGCCUGGGUUUCCCUCAGAAGAAGAAAGCAUUCCUGGGGCAGUUGAGACGCAGGCACCGAGAUCACAGGGCACCUUACCCAGUGGAAAAGGACAGCAGAAUCUUCCGCUCAGGCAACAGAGCUCAGAAUUGGUUCCGAUGUGAAUGUCUGUAUUGCCAGGCCCGUGGGCAAAAUAUUAUUGGGGAAAGGGAUGGGGCCUCCAAUCCUUCCUCCUGGGAUACACUAGUGCAGGGACUUGGUGGCCUUACCCUCAGCCUGGGAGCUGAGAGAAGCAGCCUCCUGCCAGAGGGGGCGCAGCAGCAGCAGCCUCAGCAGCCUCAGCGGCAGCGGCAGCAGAGCCAGCGGCAGCCAGAAGAGAAGUGCCAGCGGGAAAGCAAGAGGAGGUUCCACAAGCUGUUCAAGCAGUGGUUGGAAGAAAACUGAGGAGGUGCUCAUCUUCAGGAGACACAGAGACCCCGAUGAUCCACACAGUGCUUCGUUGUCAGCUUCUGCGUGUAGGCUCCUUUGUGGGACAAAAUACUCAGCUGUCCAUUGCGGGAUACCCCAGGCCUGGGCGUUUUCACCAACAUCUUCCAGGCAUGAGAUGUGACCCAUUCCCAGGAGGACCUCCGCUUUCCUGCCUGUUAUUUGUGGAGUACUGUGAAGCGUUCUAGUGUAAAGGAGGCUACACACCCCUGGUCCUCAGCCCAUCUCCUAUGCUCCCGUGAUGCAUGUUGACACUUUCCCUGCCUGGAUCUCUGUCUUUCUACCUACUUCCUUAUUAGUACAGUGAGAGUGUCUGUGGCCUUGUGGAUGUCCACGUGCUUUUGUGCCCUUUGAUCCAGGUCCAAGAAUCUGCAACUGUAGAGUGUGAGGAGAAAGAUGGAGUCAGACCAUGGUGGUUCACCAUUUUACCUUCUGUAUAAACAAGAUAUUCAACUAUGCUAGGCUAACUGGAAGUUCACGUGUACCUGCUCCGUAACAGUAGACUAAUAUCCUCCCACACGGGAAUUUCUGAUGGAGUACCUCAUUGUCAAUGCCAAAUAAUAAACAUACUUAUGAAAGAAGAGUGACCUUAGAAUGCAGGGUGGUGGUAUUUUGUUUCUUGUCAGAGCUGGAAAAUCCCUGACUGGUAGGCUAGACUCUAAGAGGAGGAGCUCAGCCCCAUGGAGAUUUGGGAAGCAGGGUGGAGUGGGAUUGGACUGGGGUGGAGUGGGAGGGCAUGGUGGUUUAAAAGAGAAUGUCCCCCAUUGGCUCAUAUAUUCAAACUCUUGGUCCCCAGUUGGAAAUGUUUGGAAGGAUUAGGGGGUGUGGCCUUGUUGGAGGAGGUGUGUCACUGGGAGUGAGUCUUGAGGUUUCAAUAGCCCAGUCCAUUCCCAGUUAUCUCCCCUCUGCCUGCUUCCUGUGGAUCAGAGGUAAGCUCUCAGCAACCGACUCAACGCCAUGCUACCUGCCUGCUGCCAUGCUCCCUGCCAUGUUGGGCAGGGACUCUAACCCUCUGAAAAUGUGAGCCUCAAAUUAAAUGUUUUCAUUUCUAAGUUG